AUUGUUCACUCAGAAUAUGGAAUCGAGAGCAGACGACUUUUCCUGCGAUCACGUUUCCGUAACGACGGUCCAGAAUGGAGCAUAAUCGGCCACUCUAGGCCAACGAUCUUCGACUGACUUCUUUAACGCAGGCGCAGGUCAGUUCCAGUUCUUCAAUCUCCAUCCGCGGUCUUCCGAUAUUCGCGGGUGUCAUCUUCAAAUCACAUCCUCUUUGUGAUCGUCUUCCGCAUCGGCUCCAGUUCCGCGUCAUCCCCAAUUCUCCACGAUUUGGCUACAUUCACGUUGUGCACAAUCCACGCCACGUCAUCUGUCCGCGCCGCAGCUUGCACAGUACGCAACGAUUCGGAUCAAUUCACCGCGUCAUCCGCAUCUGUCCACGCCGCGUCGUCGCUUCAUCGUAUCUAAACGGAACAAUUUUGUACACAACGAUUUCUGCUGAAGAGUUCCAUGUCGUUGUCCGCAAAUCGUCCACGAUUCUGAACUGGAAAUUUCGAAUCAAAGAUUACAGAUUUCAGCCAGAGUCUCGCAAAUCAUAUUCCGUUCUUCGCAAAUUCCAUAGACUCGCGAAUCAAGAUUUCAGAUUUCAACAAAUCGUCUUCCGUUCUUCAAAUUUCAGAGUUUCCGUCUGUUUCAGAUCUGCAAAUCAAGAUCUAUUCAUCGUUUGCAACAAAAUCCGGAAACUGGAGAAAUUGCAAGUGUUGGCUACUGUUCCGGAAAAAUUGCAACAAACAACACUCCGGUUCAUCCAAAUCAAAGAAUCAAGCAGAUUUCACAUCAUCACUAUUAAUUUUUUUUUAAAUAUGACAUGUAAUCUGUGAGUCAUAGAUAAUAACUGUAGGUCUGUGAGUUUUUUUUUGUUUUUCAUUUCCCG
This 871-nucleotide long non-coding RNA is filed under the name Zostera marina. RNAcentral's name for it is "long non-coding RNA (ZMAR_LNC003537)". Lineage: Eukaryota; Viridiplantae; Streptophyta; Magnoliopsida; Alismatales; Zosteraceae. The record is from RNAcentral.